Molecule: ribosomal RNA, 497 nt
Filed under: uncultured bacterium
Lineage: Bacteria
Description: partial 16S ribosomal RNA
Rfam family: Bacterial small subunit ribosomal RNA
Source: RNAcentral
GACGAACGCUGGCGGCGUGCCUAAUACAUGCAAGUUGAGCGCUGAAGGUUGGUACUUGUACCAACUGGAUGAGCAGCGAACGGGUGAGUAACGCGUGGGGAAUCUGCCUUUGAGCGGGGGACAACAUUUGGUAACGAAUGCUAAUACCGCAUAAAAACUUUAAACACAAGUUUUAAGUUUGAAAGAUGCAAUUGCAUCACUCAAAGAUGAUCCCGCGUUGUAUUAUCUAGUUGGUGAGGUAAAGGCUCACCAAGGCGAUGAUACAUAGCCGACCUGAGAGGGUGGUCGGCCACAUUGGGAAUGAGACACGGCCCAAACUCCUACGGGAGGCAGCAGUAGGGAAUCUUCGGCAAUGGACGAAAGUCUGACCGAGCAACGCCGCGUGAGUGAAGAAGGUUUUCGGAUCGUAAAACUCUGUUGGUAGAGAAGAACGUUGGUGAGAGUGGAAAGCUCAUCAAGUGACGGUAACUAAACAGAAAGGGACGGCUAACUACGUG